This 253-nucleotide ribosomal RNA is filed under the name uncultured bacterium. RNAcentral's name for it is "partial 16S ribosomal RNA". It matches the Rfam family "Bacterial small subunit ribosomal RNA", at positions 524 to 776 of the family's 1533-position model. The record is from RNAcentral.
UACAGAGGUCCCAAGCGUUGCUCGGAAUCACUGGGCGUAAAGGGUGCGUAGGCGGGUCUUUAAGUCAGGGGUGAAAUCCUGGAGCUCAACUCCAGAACUGCCUUUGAUACUGAGGAUCUUGAGUUCGGGAGAGGUGAGUGGAACUGCGAGUGUAGAGGUGAAAUUCGUAGAUAUUCGCAGGAACACCAGUGGCGAAGGCGGCUCACUGGUCCGAUACUGACGCUGAGGCGCGAAAGCGUGGGGAGCAAACAGG